GACGAACGCUGGCGGCGUGCUUAACACAUGCAAGUCGAACGGAAAGGCCCUGCUUUUGUGGGGUGCUCGAGUGGCGAACGGGUGAGUAACACGUGAGUAACCUGCCCUUGACUUUGGGAUAACUUCAGGAAACUGGGGCUAAUACCGGAUAGGAGCUCCUGCUGCAUGGUGGGGGUUGGAAAGUUUCGGCGGUUGGGGAUGGACUCGCGGCUUAUCAGCUUGUUGGUGGGGUAGUGGCUUACCAAGGCUUUGACGGGUAGCCGGCCUGAGAGGGUGACCGGCCACAUUGGGACUACGGUACGGACCAGACUCCUACGGGAGGCAGCAGUGGGGAAUAUUGCACAAUGGGCGGAAGCCUGAUGCAGCAACGCCGCGUGCGGGAUGACGGCCUUCGGGUUGUAAACCGCUUUCGCCUGUGACGAAGCGUGAGUGACGGUAAUGGGUAAAGAAGCACCGGCUAACUACGUG
RNAcentral lists this ribosomal RNA (468 nucleotides) under uncultured bacterium. RNAcentral describes it as "partial 16S ribosomal RNA". It matches the Rfam family "Bacterial small subunit ribosomal RNA", at positions 28 to 507 of the family's 1533-position model. The record is from RNAcentral.